This 253-nucleotide ribosomal RNA is filed under the name uncultured bacterium. Its description in RNAcentral is "partial 16S ribosomal RNA". It matches the Rfam family "Bacterial small subunit ribosomal RNA", at positions 524 to 776 of the family's 1533-position model. The record is from RNAcentral.
UACAGAGACUGCAAGCGUUAUUCGGAUUCACUGGGCGUAAAGGGUGCGCAGGCGGCCGUGUGUGUUGGGUGUGAAAGCCCGGAGCUUAACUCCGGAAUUGCGCUCAAAACUACACGGCUAGAGUAUUGGAGAGGGUAACGGAAUUCAUGGUGUAGCAGUGAAAUGCGUAGAUAUCAUGAGGAACACCAGAGGCGAAGGCGGUUACCUGGACAAUUACUGACGCUCAGGCACGAAAGCGUGGGGAGCAAAAGGG